Molecule: ribosomal RNA, 502 nt
Filed under: uncultured bacterium
Lineage: Bacteria
Description: partial 16S ribosomal RNA
Rfam family: Bacterial small subunit ribosomal RNA
Source: RNAcentral
GACGAACGCUGGCGGCGUGCCUAAUACAUGCAAGUCGAACGAACCGCGACUAAGUGCUUGCACUAAGUCAAGGUGAGUGGCGAACGGGUGAGUAACACGUGGGUAACCUACCUCAUAGUGGGGGAUAACAGUCGGAAACGACUGCUAAUACCGCAUAGGACAUAGGAUCACAUGAUCCAGUGAGGAAAGGUGGCGCAAGCUAUCGCUAAGAGAUGGACCCGCGGUGCAUUAGCUAGUUGGUAGGGUAAAGGCCUACCAAGGCGAUGAUGCAUAGCCGACCUGAGAGGGUGAUCGGCCACAUUGGGACUGAGACACGGCCCAAACUCCUACGGGAGGCAGCAGUAGGGAAUCUUCCGCAAUGGACGCAAGUCUGACGGAGCAACGCCGCGUGAGUGAAGAAGGUCUUCGGAUCGUAAAGCUCUGUUGUUAGAGAAGAACAGCGCAUAGAGUAACUGCUAUGCGUGUGACGGUAUGUAACCAGAAAGCCACGGCUAACUACGUG